Podarcis lilfordi (Lilford's wall lizard) is the source of this 13702-nucleotide non-coding RNA. NCBI's taxonomy places the organism in Eukaryota, Metazoa, Chordata, Lepidosauria, Squamata, Lacertidae. The record is from the annotation of a GenBank genome assembly.
CGCCAACGAAAACUUCUCAGCGAGUGUGGGACCAUCUCCGCUAUUCUUUUGCUUACUUCUAGGAAAUCAUUUGACCUUGUAAAAUUGCAAGUAUGUUUUUCGUUUUCUAAAAAGGCGUUAUCGGUAAUGUUGUCAGCUACCGUGGAACGGAAAGCACAUUUUGUUAUUGCAAGAUGAAGGCCAUUUUCGAGUGUAAGGAAACAAAAGAGAUUCUGCUGUAAUGAAGUUGCUGGAAAGAGAGCACACGGUUGGAAGCUGGUGACUUGCUGAAAUAAUGAUUUAUGGAUUCUUUGUUUCAGAUGAGCAGUUGUAAUAUUUUAAUACAUUUUCCCACCAAAGUGUUUUUCCUGUCCCUCUCUUGUAUUUGUAUAUGGAGAUCCUCUGCUGAGAUAGCUCCACCGGAGACAGCUUGAAAGAAGAUUCUCCGAGGAAAAAAGCACAUCUGGCUGAGUUCUCACCAACUUCUGUUUCUGGGGUUGCAACCCUGAGCAAACACCUCCUUGGUUUGCAGCUUUGGCUCUGCAGUCAUUUCUUGGCUCCAGAUGUACACUUCUGCUAUCAAAGUUUGGCUGACUUGCUGCAACAGUGCCUUUGUUGUGUUGUGGAGCAAAGGAAGUUAUUGGGAAAAGAGGAUGUAAUUGAAACAAGCAACUCUAUGCUUAAAAAGGGCAAUCCUAGCCAUACACAUUCCACCUGCUGUAACUUUUAUCCCUUGCCAGUGUAUUGCACUGAUUUGACCACUGAAUCUUUGGCAAAAACCAAAACCCAAGAUCAGUGGCGUAGCGUGGGGGGUGCAGGGGGGGCCGGCCGUACCAGGCGCAACAUCUGGGGGGGCGCGCUCGCACUCACAGCUCUCUGCCCCUACCUGGCUCACUCACUCUAGGGGGCGCAAAUUACUUGCCUUGCCCCGGGUGCUGACAACCCACGCUACACCACUCUUCAUUCAGCAAGAGCCAGGACAUGGGCCAAGGUCUACAAUGAAAUCCAGACCCUCCAAGUGUCCCUAUUUUCCAGGGACAGUCUUGGAUUCAAAGAAGCCAUCCCAGUUUCUGAGUUGAUACCAGAAUGUCCAACUUUUUCUUUGGAUGUACCUAUGGUAUUUUCAUCAGAGAAAUGUUAGAAAUGUUGAAGGGUAUGGUAGGAUGUCCCUAUUUUCAUUGGAGGGUAAGGAGUCAUGUGACUCCUGAGUCAAGGGGAUAAGUUAACUAUACAACCUUUGGAAGACAUCUGAAGGUAGCCCUGUAUAGGGAAGUUUUAAAUAUUUAAUGUUUUAUUAUGUUUUUAUAUAUGUUGGAAGCUGCCCAGAGUAGCUGGGGCAGCCCAGUCAGAUGGGCGGGGUAUAAAUAAUAAAAUUAUUUUUGUUAUGGAAUAGGACAUCCCUAUUUUCAUUGAAGAAAUGUUGGUGAGUAUGAAAGGGGCUUGCAACCAUGUCAUUUUCUUGGCCUACUCAGAGUAGACUCAUUGAAUCUAAUGAGCACAACUUAGGCCAAUUAAUUUCAGUGUGCCCACUCUGAGUGAGACUUAGCCAGAUGCAGUCCUUCUACAUUUUCUGCUUCUUGUGAGAUUCGGCAGGGUCACCUCCUGACCCAGGAUAAAGAACACUGGGAAUGGCCAUAGCUGAAUUCCCUGCAUCUCCAGGGAGGGACCCCUGUCUGAAAUCCCAGAGACUUGCUGCCAGUUGAUACAGAAAAUACUGAGCUAGAUGGAUUUCAAGCAAAUGUUGUAUAUGCACAAUGGGGCCACGUACAUCUUCUGCCAGGCUGGUGGAUGAACAAGGCUCAGUCAGUGUGGCCAGAGCACAAUCCUGCUCCCACUCUACCUGUUCAGCACACGCCCCAUUUAAAGGUAAAGGACCACUGACAAUUAAGUCCAGUUGUAGAUGAUUCUGGGGCUGCGGCGCUCAUCUCACUUUACUGGUCAAGGGAGCCAGCGUUUGUCCACAGACAGUUUUUCCGAGUCAUGUGGUCAGUAUGACUAAGCCGCUUCUGGCAAAACCAGAGCAGCACACGGAAAUGCCGUUUACCUUCCCACCAGAGCGGUACCUAUUUAUCUACUCGCACUCUGAUGUGCUUUCGAACUACUAGGUUGCCAGGAGCAGGGACCGAGCAACAGGAGCUCACCCUGUCACAGGGAUUCGAACUGCCGACCUUCCGAUCGGCAAGCCCAGAAGCUCAGUGGCUUACACCACAGUGCCACCUGUGUUAGAAGGUGCAAAAAAAUACAUUUCUGUAUCAACGGCAAAGCUAACAUGAAACUCCAGGGUCAUUAGAUCUUCAAGGCAGACAGGCGCAUGAGCAAGCUUUCUAGGAAAUGAUAUAUAAUGAAAUGAAAAAAAAUGUUUAAAAUAACCUUUGUUAUGAAGCCAGAAGCUUUUUAUUAGGAAUUACAGGUACUGACAUUCCAAAGGAGCAGAAAAGACUUUUCAUGUAUGGAACAACAGCCGCCCAGAUGUUACUAACCCAGAGAUGGAAAGAAGACAAGGUCCCUACCAGAGAGGAAUGGCAAACCAAUCUGAUGAAUUAUGCCGAAAUGGCAAAACUGGCUGGAAAACUUGGAAACCAAGAGGAUAAAAACUUUAUAAAGAAUGGGGAAAAUAAUAAGUUGUUUAGGAGACCACUGUAAGCGGAUGGAAACAUGGGCAGGAUUUUGAUCUCACUUGUAGUAUAACAAUUGCCAUGGAUAACAUGGAUUGAUAUAAAAGUUAGAGUAUGGAAGAAUAUGCAGUUUUAAUGUUCAAAAUAAGACCCCCAUGGAGGCCGUGGGGGGGAAGUCCUGAGAUUGGCAGGAUAUGGAUAUAUAAAGUGGUACCUUGGGUUAAGUACUUAAUUCGUUCCGGAGGUCCGUUCUUAAUCUGAAACUGUUCUCAACCUGAAGCGCCACUUUAGCUAAUGGGGCCUCCUGCUGCUGGAGCCCGAUUUCUGUUCUUAUCCUGAUGCAAAGUUCUUAACCUGAAGCACUAUUUCUGGGUUAGCGGAGUCUGUAAGCUGAAGCGUAUGUAACCUGAAGCGUAUGUAACCCGAGGUACCACUGUAUUUGGAUUUUUAUAACUUUGUAUUUGUAAAACCAAAUAAAAAUGAUUUUUAAAAAGGGGGAGGGAGAAAUAAAGACUCAUCACAAGGAAAAAAAGAGAGACCCUGGGCUCUAGAUAGCUUUCUUCCAGAUGCCAAAUCCAGCCAAGUGGAACCGAGUUCAAGUGAACAAAAUUAGCACAUUGGGAAAGUGGGUCGGCUAGAGCUGUGCAAAGUUCAGUAUCUGGAGAAAGAAUAUAAGCACCUAAGAACAGCCUGGCUAGAUUGGGCAAAAGGCUCAUCUAGUCCAGCAAUCUGUUUUUACGGCAGGGAAGAGGACGGUAUUCAGAGGCAGAUUGCCCAGCAGUGGAGGUAGGACACAAACAUCACGGCUAGUAGCUAUUGAUAGCCUUAUACUUCAUGAAUUUCUCCACCAGCUCAAUUCAGUUCUCCACCCUCUCAAUUAUGUAAGCCUGAGUUCUUAUAUUUCAUUCCUUAAAGCUCUGUGAGCAAAACUUUAAUUUGCGAGUCUUUUAACUUACGGUGGAUAUUUAGAAUGCCAGCGCCAAAUAACUGCACCCAGUAUAUUUUCUAGAAAAGGGGUGGGAUCCUUUAUCUCUCCAGAUAUUCCUGGCCUAAAGGUAAAGGGACCCCUGACUGUUAGGUCCAGUCAUGGCCGACUCUGGGGUUGCGGUGCUCAUCUCGCUUUAUUGGCUGAGGGAGCCAGUGUACAGCUUCCGGAAGCCGCUUCUGGCGAACCAGAGCAGCGCACAGAAAUGCCGUUUACCUUCCCGCCGGAGCAGUACCUAUUUAUCUACUUGCACUUUGACGUGCUUUCAAACUGCUAGGUUGGCAGGAGCAGGGACCGAGCAACGGGAAAUUCCACAGUAUUUGAAGGACCAGAGGUUCCCCAUCAUCUUCAGGUGAGACGGGGAAUGUCCCUCCUCCUCUGGAAAGCUGAUGCCAGUCGGUGUAGACAAUGUCUAGAUGAGCCAACAGUCUGACUGAAUAUAAGGCAUCUUCCCAUGUUCCCCAUCCCUGCUCUAGAUGGAAACGUAUCUGGCCUUUAUUCUAGUUCAUUAUAAGUAAUUCGUCUUGUCUGGCAACCAGCUUUGCUUUCCAGAGUCUGAAUAGCAGUGAGUUGUUGAGAAAGCCAUUCCAUCACCUGACUGUUAUUACUAUUAUUAUUAUUUUACCACAGGGCAUAUUGAGGCAGAAUUCAGCAUGCCCCUUUGUCACACUUUUAUUUCUUCUAAAUUAGCUCUGAGUAAUACAUGAUUAAUUUAGCAACAGCUCUGGCGCUCUGUGGAGACCUCCUUGCCAUUUGUCCUCAUUACCUUUCGGGCCAAGAAAUAGGGAGACCACAUGAAAUGGCAGCCCCACUGAGCUCGCCAAUUCACAGCGUUCAGCAGGUACCCACCCCCACAGUUCUUCCUGUUUGCACACUUUGCUUUUUAAACUUACGAUGAACAAACCAAGCAGAAUCCGCCAGGUGUACAUAACUGGUCACCAUAAAUCUACCUACCUAUCUAUCUAUCUAUCUAUCUAUCAUCUCUCUCUCAUCUUGUAGAAAAGGCUUUCUCUAAAUCAUAUAAGUUUGUAAUUAAAACUCAGACUUCUAAAAACUUUCCUGCUCCUAACACGUGAACCUUUCCCCCACUUUCUUUCACAAAAAUAAUAAUAAUUUGCUCUCUGGUUUUUAAUUUUUAAGUCACCACAGCCAUAUUUCCAUUGUUUUAUAUGAACUUAGAGCUAUCUGAGCUUGCUCAAAACAACUACCAGACUUUUAGAAGACAUCUGAAGGCAGCCCUGUUUAGGAAGCUUUUAAUGUUUUUAAUGUAUUUAAAUAUUUUGUUGGAAGCUGCCCAGAGUGGCUGGGGAAACCCAGCCAGAUGGGUGGGGUAUGAAUAAUAAAUAAUUAUUAUUAUAUGCACCACCAGUGCUAUUUUUCUAGAAAAAGAGGUGCCGGAAUUCACCAUGAACACCUCUCUUGUUCUCUUAGAAUGGCAAUGGCGCCCAGCUGAGAGGUGCUGGAACUGAGUUCCAGCUGAAACCCCCCUGUACACCAUGUUUAAAACAGCCAUAUCUAUUCUUCUUUAUAAAUGUAUUCCAUUAUUUCAAACAGCAAAUACAGACAGAACUCAACGGUCCAAUGAAAGCAUAUCAUAGAAAGCCACAAUUUUCACAAAUACACAGAAAUAAAUUUGUGCCUCAAAUUACUACUAAUACUCUUGUCUUCCUUAACAGAGAACCUUUGCAACCCUGUAACUUUGACAGCAUGUAUCAGCAGCUCCCACCAUUGGGGUCACAUCCACACCAUACACUUAAAAGGGACAUGGGUGGCACUGUGGUCUAAACCACUGAGCCUCUUGGGUUUGCGGAUCAGAAGGUCAGCAGUUCGAAUCCCCGCAACGGGAUGAGCUCCCGUUGCUUCUGCCAACCUAGCAGUUCGAAAGCAUGCCAGUGCAAGUAAAUAAAUAGGUACCGAUUUGGUGGGAAGGUAAACAGCAUUUCCGUGCAUUCGUGAUUUCCAUCACAAUGUCCUGUUGCACCAGAAGUGGUUUAGUCCUGGUGGCCACAUGACCCGGAAAGCACUCUGUAGACAAAUGCUGGAUCCCUCAGCCUGAAAAGCGAGAUGAGCACCACACCCCAUAGUCGCCUUUGGCUGGACUUAACUGUCCAGGAGUUCUUACCUUUUACCUUUAUACAUUUAAAGCAUAUGGUUUUCCCCCCAAGAAUCAUGGGAACAGUUGUUUUUUAAGGAUGUUGAGAACUGUAGCUCUGUGUGUGUGUGGUAAACUACAGUUCCCAGGCUUUUUUGAGGAAGUUGUGUGCUUUAAAUGUAUGGCAUGAAUAUGACCUACGGCACAUAAGAUGCCAGAAGGGUAAUGGUCUGCAAAUUCCUGUUCAUGAAAGACACAAAUGGGAGCCACACUUUUUCAAAGUAACUGUCAUUUACCAUGCUCCUUAGUACCUUGCUGUGUCAAAUGACCCUCAAAAUAACACACAGCAGCAGGCAGCGAUAUGAGAGGAAGCAAAUAGACGCUAUGGCAGCUGAGGCAGCUACCAACUAUUUCAAUUUCGAAACAUUCUGACCCCAGGGCAAGAGUGGCAGUGGUCUCAGCUUAUCAGGCACCAUCCUCAGAGUCUCAUGGGGUGAAUAAGAGCAAUGAAGGGGGGGCUGAGGGAUCUUGGGCUGCCCUCUCACUGCUCUCGCACUCUAUUAAAGGGGGACCCUAUAAAAUCAUUAAAUCCAAAAGUCUACCAUUGUGUACCUUCACACCUUUGCAGAUGAUAUGAAACCUGGAGAUACUCUAAGUUGGAGAAGGUAGCAGGUCCAAUGUGGAGAACCUGAUCAAUGCACAGAAAACCAGCUCACUAGAUGUGAUCCUGUUCCCUUCUCUACAGUUUGAAUAUCCCUGGACUUCAUGUGUUGCAGGUGCAACCAAUGGCUUGGACACAGUUAAGUUUGUUGAUAGAAAGCACUACUGAAAGACUUGCCAGGGGCUUAAAGGGUUGAGCCGUGUGGCCUGAGAUGAUGAUGAUGAUUUAUUGAAUUUAUAUACCGCCCUAUACCCAGGGGGUCUCAGGGCAGUUCACAGAAUAAAAUCAAGAUAUAAAACCACAAAAUAAAAACAAAAACAACCCAAUAGCCCCCCAAUUAUGCUGAUUAUCAAGAUACAAUGUCUUCUGGAGUGUGUCAAACAAGAUGUGGUUCUUUAGCUCCUUAAGACAUACAGAGUAUAAGACAUUCACAUUAUUUUGGGAUGAUUCCUUUAUGUGCUCAGUGAAUUACAUAUAAUUUCACAGGUGUAAUUGUGUGUGUUUAAAAAAAUAUGCCUGUGAAAUUCUACAAUACAGUGGUACCUCGGGUUACAUACACUUCAGGUUACAGGCACCGCUAACCCAGAAAUAGUACCUCGGGUUAAGAACUUUGCUUCAGGAUGAGAACAGAAAUUGUGCUCCGGAGGUGCGGCAGCAGCAGGAGGCCCCAUUAGCUAAAGUGGUGCUUCAGGUUAAGAACAGUUUCAGGUUAAGAACGGGCCUCCGGAACGAAUUAAGUACUUAACCUGAGGCACCACUGUGACUGUUGAGCACAUCCUCAAAUGAUAUGGAUGCGAUUCUUUUGCUCUGCGUUCUGACCCUAUUCUAUUAAUCGGUCUCUUUCGCCUGUUGUUUGGUUGUCUUGACUGUAUCUUGUUUUGAAACUGUUCUGUGGGUCUAUGGACCGCUACACACACACACACACACACACAUGCAAAGCACUCAAAGCAAACAAGUUGUUGACCAAGGAUUUAAAAGUUCUCCUGAUGGAGAGAGAGAGAGAAAAUACCCAAGCAAUACUUCACUCUUGCAAAGCACUUGUGCACAUUCCAAAAAUUAUCAGGCGGCAGCUUGCUCUUUAAAAAUGACCCAGUCACGCUGCAUGAGGAUUUCCCCAACCAGUGUCCCCCCCCCAUCUCCUGCAAUUAGAUCAACUUCUAACAUACAAGAAAUACACCUUGCUUGUUUUGCUGGGUGCACAGGCAUGUUUUAUUGCAUCAGAACGUACAGACAUAACUGCUGGCAAACGAUGAGAGACCUGAAGAAGUUUUAUUAUGCUUCUAAACACCAGGUGCUUGCUGUGUGGCUGCUGGGGUCCAGAGUGCCUGGAAUAUUGCUUCUGCCCUCCCCUAAAUUUAAUUUUAUUCGCUCUCACCUGGUGGACGGGUAUGAGUUCCAGCAAGGAUAUAGUAAUUAUUAAUGUAGCUAUUCAAUGAGGCAAGGCAAUUUGCACAGAUUAUUUCUUGCAUUUUCAAGAUGGUAAGAUUACGUACUUUGAUCCUGCACAGGAGAGCACUGAAAAUCACUUUGCAUUGUCUGGGAUGGUAUUAAACUAUGCUGGCUGCCUUCUCAGUACCUUGCAAGACAUUGGAUCACCUCUGCUAAGGGAUGUAUGUGAAUGCUGUCCCAGAAGAAACCUUUCUGAGUCCUCUCUUGGGAACCUACGGUCAAGGUUAGAAAGUGAUCCCAUUUUGAAGAGAUGAGAUGGCUCUGAUAAUAAAUUUACCACUCCUUCCAAUGAACACUAAGGAAGAGCAUGCUAGUAUCCUCCGUCAUCAUUCCACUCUGUUUUGUGGUGGUCAGUCUGCAUUUUAGUAUUCAGUUCAGAGGAGGAAUGGGCAAAUUUGUCAAUUUCAGUUUUCUCUGUUUCUCAUUUUUUAAAAUCUUAAAGCUAAGAUUUUUGCUGCAAUUUCCAACUCCCCCCUGAAAAAACCUCAUGAAAUCCAUUUUUGUAUGGAUUUCUCCCAAUAAACAGCUUUGUAUGCAGUUAUGACUAAUAAUUUUGUAUUAUGGUUCUGGAGGAGACUCUUGAGAGUCCCAUGGACUGCAAGAAGACCAAACCUAUCUAUUCUUAAGGAAAUCAGCCCUGAGUGCUCACUGGAAGGACAGAUCCUGAAGCUGAGGCUCUAAUACUCUGGCCACCUCAAGAGAAGAGAAGACUCCCUGGAAAAGACCCUGGUGUUGGGAAAGAUGGAGGGCACAAGGAGAAGGGGACGACGGAGGACGAGAUGAUUGGACAGUGUUCUCGAAGCUACCAGCAUGAGUUUGACCAAACUGCGGGAGGCAGUGGAAGACAGGAGUGCCUGGCGUGCUGUGGUCCAUGGGGUCACGAAGAGUCGGACACGACUAAAUGACUAAACAACAAAUGACUAAUAAACAGAUUUUUCAAUCAAACCCCCCCCAAUAUUAUGCUCUUUUCCAUGCCAUUUUCACUAAUAUACACAUUUUGAGUCGUGAACAGAAUCAUAAAAUUUGGAGAAAUGCAAAUUUCAAAGGAUAGCUGUGCUUUGGUUCACAUAUUAAUUUAUUACGUCUAUUACAUGCAGUUUUGGAAAGUGCAAAAUAGGUAGUUUCUUAUUAAAAUGCAAACAAAAUAGAAUUUCCCCUCCCACUCCUAGCUCUGGGCACCACUACUUCAGCAGGAUGUUGACUAAUGAGAGAUGACAACAGAGUAGGGUGAUGUCAGAGACCAGGCUGAGGAGUACAACUCUGAUGAGGAAUGGUGGGAGCCUCCACCAACAUGGCCACAAUCCUGAAACUCCACAGGAGCAGUGUUGAUUUGGAACAAUGGCUCGCUGAGGGGCACAGUUCGGAAGGCAAUAGCUGGACAGAACUGGGAGUCGAACAGCAAGAGGAAGAAUGGGAAGAGAAUGAGCUAGCUGACUCUCAGUCCUAAGGCUAGGAGAUUAGAUAAGGUGGCUGCACAAAAGACUCAAUGGUUGAGAGAUCAGGUAGCUAGGAGACAAGAGGAUGCAAGUUACUAGAGGAAAGUGGGAGGAACCUUAAUUGGGGAGCACCUGCACUCCGAGAAUGGUCGCUUGUUCUUUUGCUGGGUUUAUUAAACAUUUCUGUUACUGGUGGUAAGAGACUGCUUUCUCUUUGUACUGCUUAUCUACGGACAAGGGGGGAGGAAGCUGAGCCCCCAAAGCCUGACAGGUGACUAGGACAGUGAGGAACCUGGAAACAAAGUCCUAUGGAUGAACUGUGAAAAUAGCUGGGCAUGUUAAGACUGAAGAAGAGAAGAUGAAUCAGAAACAUCAUAGAGGUAUUCAAAAAUUCCGAAGGCCUAGCAUGCUGAAGAUGGAUCACUGCAUAAACGAUGGAACUUGCUCCCACAGCAGACAGUGAUGGCUGCCAACUUAGAUAAGCUUUAAAUGAAGAUCAGGCAAAUUCAUGGAGGAUUGGGCUACGAAAGGCUAUUAUUCUACUUCCACAGUGAAUGCCAAUUGGUGGGAAUCACUAGUGGAACGCUCUGUCACAAGAGACUAGGGCCCUGCGGGACCUGACAUCUUUCCGCAGGGCCUGCAAGGCAGAGCUGUUCCACCAGGCCUUUGGUCAGGGCGCAGCCUGACCCCGUCCUCUGGCAAUCUGCACAGAAUUUUGCUUAAUGGUUGCCAUCAAUUUGAUUUUAAUUAAUUUUAUAAUGAAUCUUUUUAGAAUGCUGGAUUACUUUGAUUGUUGUUAGCCGCCCUGAGCCCAGCUUCGGCUGGGGAGGGCGGGAUAUAAAUAAAAUUUAUUAUUAUUAUUAGUGUGAUGCCGAGGUCCCACUAGGCUUCCCAUGGGCAUCUGUUUGGAACAGGAUACUCGGCUAGAUGAGCCUUUGGCUUGAUCCAAAAGGGCUCUUUUCAUGUUCCUAUUCCUAAUACGCUCUAUACAGCUGACUGUGCCCCCAAAUACCCCAGUAAUAAGAUCAUUAAGUUUGCAGUUGAUACAACGGUGGUUGGUUUAAUCACGGCUGGAGAGGGGGAGGCGGCCUAUAGUAAGGAAGUUGAGCAGUUGGGGGAGUGGUGCAGGAAAAACAACUUCCUCCUUUACUUAAAGAAAACAAAAGAGAUUGUUGUGGACUUUAGGAAAUGUAAAUUGAAUAUUCAGCCACUUAUUAUUGAGGGGAAGUGCGUGGAACAGGUCUCGGUGUUUCGAUUUCUGGGAAUGGAGUUGAGAGAUGACCUAACCUGGGGAAAAAUCAGUAAAGACCUGAUAAAGAGAGCACAGCAGAGGUUAUAUUUUCUGAGAAUCCUCUGGAAAAAUUAUCUCUCAAAGGACCUGUUGAUGGCAUUUUACCAUUGUACUGUUGAGAGUGUAUUAACUUAUGGUCUGUGUGUGUUGUUUGGGAGCUGCAUGGUCAGGGAAAAACCAAUGCUGUCCAGGGUUGUAAAGACUGCGGAGAGAAUAAUUGGGUGCACUCUUCCCACCUUGGAUCAAAUCUAUGCUUCCAGGUGUCAUAAGAAAGCUGCAGAGAUAGCGCAGGAUAGUGUGCACCCCGGAAACGAUCUCUUUCAGCUUCUGCCUUCUGGAAGAAGGUACAGGGUUAUAAAGACUAGGACUAGCCACCUGAGAAACAGUUUUUAUCCAAAUGCAAUUUUGGUUUUAAACGCAGUGUAAGGUAGUCUCUGUGGGAGUAUAUUGUAUUUAAUUAUGGGGUAUCAGAGUUUUUAGGGGGUUAACCAGGCUGGGAUAGCUGGGAUAGCAGGCUUGUUGGUUUUUGAAUGUCUGAUGUAGAUUUUUUCAAUUUCGUUGUUCUGUAUGGGACAAUGACAAUAAAGAUUAUCGUAAAAAAAUAUAUAUCGUAAUCACUGACUACUGCAUGUAGCUGAUGGGAGAUGGAGUCCAACAAACUCUAGAGAGCCAGAUGUUCCUUAAUCUUAAUUUAGAGCAAGACUGACCAGGUGCCAAGGGAAACAGGCCUCCUAGCUGUUUAAGCUGCAACACAUCUUUGACUGAGCAGCUGACUAUACACAUACAAUUAACCAACAGAAACAGCAAACAUACACACCCAUUUGCCUGUGAGUAAAAUCACUGAGGUAAAUGGGGCUAUGUAAAAAAAUUAAACCUUUUUGGGAUGAUGUCUAUUUAGAACUUAAAAAAUUGUUAGGGGCCUCUUUAACAAAAAACCAAAACCAAAACCCAGAGGCCUUCUUACUGGGAAUCAGAAGAUUGGAUACUCCUCCGAAGGUGAAAUAUCUUUCUACACGGUACCAUUGCCAUAAGAAUUUUAAUUGCGAGUAACUGGAAAAGUGAUAAAACCCCUUCGAGGUCAGAAUGGCUACAGAAAUUAGUUGAAUAUGCAAAAUAAGCGAAAUUAACUGAAAUAAUGAAAGAUAAGUCCAAACAUGUAUUUAUUACAAAAUGGGAACCUCUUAAAACGCAUCUUAAAAACAACUGUGGAAGUCCGAACUUGGUUGCUGCUUUUGAAUAACCUCUGUAGUUGUACCAAGUAAGAAAUAAGGAUACGGGAGAAAUAAUAUUUUACUGUAAAAUGAAUAGAUAGGUUUAUGCAAAAGGUUAGUAAAUUAGAAAUGAAGUAUGGAGAAGACGGGAAGUCAAUGAACUACAAGAAGAUUUAUUGUCAAUUAUAUAAAUUUAUCCUUUUUGGUGAAUGGUGUAAUUUGUAACAAAUGACGUAAAUACUUUCUCUUUUUGCAUUUUGUUGGCGCGUAAGCAAAAACAAACAAACAAAUAAAUAAAUAAAUAGGUAGUAAAUGGGGCUUGCUUUAAAGUAUACCUGUAUAGGAUUGCACUGUUAGCUGUGUACAAGCAUGCUAGCUUGCCACUGCAAUUGAGUGCUGAUGUCACUUGCGCAUGCUGCACAACAUGCAUGCUGCGUGGGUUGGGCGUGUGACAUCAGCAUGACGUGUGGCAUGCACAAUGGAUGUGCACAUGGUUGCCACAGAAUAUUGAGGGGUCCUGGCCCCCUCCUUGAAAAUUUUGGGGAGGGGAUUCGACCCCUCAGCCCUCUUUGAUUUUUUUUUAUAAGAUAUUUAUUAAAGUUUCCAAAGUAAAAAAAAGGUUACAAUAAUAAUAAUAAUAAGAGAGAAAAAAAGAAUAAAACAGAAAAAGAAUACAAAAUACAAAAAAGUAAAAACAAUUAAAAAACAAAUCAAUCUUUCCAUAUCUUGUCUUUCAUUUACUUGUUUCCCUGACCUCCUCACACCUCCCCUUUUUGUAUUCCAGUUCAGUAUGUUAAUUCAGCAAAUCCUUUCCCUCUUUGUUUUUAUCUUAGUCCUUUGUCUUAAUAUGUAAUAACUGUAUAUUCUCAUCUGUUAGCAGUCCUUCCUGAAGAAACCAGAGGCCUUUCUCCUGGGCAUAGUCGGCCAAUUGGUGCCAAAGAAGGAUAGAAUUUUCUUUAUGUAUGCCACAACAGCAGCAAGAAUACUCUUCGCGAAGUAUUGGAAGACACAAGAUUUACCCACCCGGGAAGAAUGGCAGAUGAAGUUGAUGGACUAUAUGGAACGGGCAGAAAUGACUGGCAGAAUCCGAGACCAGGGAGAAGAGUCGGUGGAAGAAGACUGGAAGAAAUUUAAAGACUAUUUACAGAAAUACUGUAAAAUUAAUGAAUGUUAGAAUGAUGUCGGAAUGAAGCUAAGGGGUUUUUAGUAGCAAUGUUAUAAGGAGUAUGUAAAAAUGGACUGCCCUCAGCCCUCUUUGAUGAUGCCCCUGGUUGUGUAGAAAGGCAACUUCCUGCAAGUACAGCGCUUUCACGCUACGCUGAAAAGCUGUACCUACCAACAUGCCGUCUCCUGUGCAACAACAAAAAGUACAGGAGCCGAUGCUCUCCAUUUUGUCUGGUCACACUUAGAGGAAGGUAGAUAAAAGCAGGAAGUUGGCUGGGAAUAUUCAGAAUAAGAAAAAAAAGGCGGGGGAGUCCAGUGCUGCCGAUUGUAUUGAGAAGCAGUCCCCGAGUCUGAAAGGGCUGAGAACAAUUGCUUUUAAUUAAUGGCAAGUAAUAAAUUCAUUUGGAAAACUGCGACGGACUCCCAGAUCUUCAGGGAAGAAGGAAAGCAUGUCCAACUUGGUUGGAUGAAUGAUUUAUUGUGUAUUAUUCUUUUGGCUCCACUUGUCUUGCCCACCUCCGUGAAUGGGGACACCCAUUAGCUCAGCCUCCUCACUACAUGGAGGGGAGGGGACGUCAAAUAUUGCCAGUGCCAAACCAGCCACAGAGCCGCCUCAUUCCUUCCAUUCACCGAAUGUCACUCAGUCAGUCUCUCUUUAACCUGCGGGCGGCCUUUGGGAGAAUUCAGAUGGAAGCAACUCACAGUCCUAGUCAUGUAAUCCUGUUAGCACAAAGCGAUUCUCAAUAGCUCUCGAUGGUGCGUAGCAGAAUUGGCUCGAUGAAUUAAAAACAAAACAAUCCUGUUUUUUUAUGUACAAAU